Oncorhynchus masou masou (cherry salmon) is the source of this 346-nucleotide long non-coding RNA. RefSeq lists it as uncharacterized. The transcript has 3 exons. The record is from RefSeq and is a predicted model, not a curated record. Lineage: Eukaryota; Metazoa; Chordata; Actinopteri; Salmoniformes; Salmonidae.
UCCUCUUCAGCCUGAUCGUAUUCUUUGCAUGGAGGAGGAGAACAUCUAGACUCCCCAGUGGGUUUGACAUGACAGACCGUUCACAGGGACUGGUGGGAAUGAACUCCCCGGUUGGGACAGUGUGCUCUAACCAGGCCACGGUCAGUAGAGGGAACCAGGAACCACCACUUAACAACCUAGAUGGUCUUUAAGCACAAGUCAAUCAAAGAGGUGCAUUUUAUGUAUUUUUCCAAUGGGUAUUAAGUGUUUUUAUGUACAAUAUUGUCAUUGUGUAUUAGUUUGACAUUGAUACUUUUGUUACAUUUAUAAUUGUGUACUCUUUGAUUAUCUGCAUAUUUGUCAAAUU